AGAGUUGAUCAUGGCUCAGGAUGAACGCUAGCGGCAGGCUUAAUACAUGCAAGUCGAGGGGCAGCACGGUAUAGCAAUAUAUGGGUGGCGACCGGCAAACGGGUGCGGAACACGUACACAACCUUCCGGUGAGCGGGGGAUAGCCCAGAGAAAUUUGGAUUAAUACCCCAUACUAUAAUGAUCAGGCAUCUGGUUAUUAUCAAAGGCUUCGGCCGCUUAUUGAUGGGUGUGCGUCUGAUUAGGUAGUUGGCGGGGUAGAGGCCCACCAAGCCUACGAUCAGUAGCUGAUGUGAGAGCAUGAUCAGCCACACGGGCACUGAGACACGGGCCCGACUCCUACGGGAGGCAGCAGUAAGGAAUAUUGGACAAUGGACGCAAGUCUGAUCCAGCCAUGCCGCGUGAAGGAUGAAUGCCCUCUGGGUUGUAAACUUCUUUUACAGGGGAAGAAAGUUAUCUUUUUUAGGAUAUUUGACGGUACCCUAUGAAUAAGCACCGGCUAACUCCGUGCCAGCAGCCGCGGUAAUACGGAGGGUGCAAGCGUUAUCCGGAUUCACUGGGUCUAAAGGGUGCGUAGGCGGGUAUGUAAGUCAGUGGUGAAAUACCGGAGCUUAACUUCGGAACUGCCAUUGAUACUAUAUAUCUUGAAUAUUGUGGAGGUAAGCGGAAUAUGUCAUGUAGCGGUGAAAUGCUUAGAGAUGACACAGAACACCGAUUGCGAAGGCAGCUUACUACGCAAAUAUUGACGCUGAGGCACGAAAGCGUGGGGAUCAAACAGGAUUAGAUACCCUGGUAGUCC
This 796-nucleotide ribosomal RNA is filed under the name uncultured bacterium. RNAcentral's name for it is "bacterial SSU rRNA". It matches the Rfam family "Bacterial small subunit ribosomal RNA", at positions 8 to 796 of the family's 1533-position model. The record is from RNAcentral.